GGCGCACGGGUGAGUAACACGUGACUAACCUACCUCCGAGUGGGGAAUAACUUCGGGAAACCGAGGCUAAUACCGCAUAACACUUACGAGUCAAAGCAGCAAUGCGCUUGGAGAGGGGGUCGCGGCAGAUUAGCUAGUUGGCGGGGUAAUGGCCCACCAAGGCGAUGAUCUGUAUCCGGCCUGAGAGGGCGCACGGACACACUGGAACUGAAACACGGUCCAGACUCCUACGGGAGGCAGCAGUGGGGAAUUUUGCGCAAUGGGGGAAACCCUGACGCAGCAACGCCGCGUGGAGGAUGAAGUCUCUUGGGACGUAAACUCCUUUCGAUCGGGACGAUUAUGACGGUACCGGAAGAAGAAGCCCCGGCUAACUUCGUGCCAGCAGCCGCGGUAAUACGAGGGGGGCAAGCGUUGUUCGGAAUUAUUGGGCGUAAAGGGCGCGUAGGCGGUUUGGCAAGUCUAGUGUGAAAUCUUCGGGCUCAACUCGAAGUCUGCACUGGAAACUGCCGGGCUUGAGUAUGGGAGAGGUGAGUGGAAUUUCCGGUG
Molecule: ribosomal RNA, 546 nt
Filed under: uncultured Terriglobus sp.
Lineage: Bacteria; Pseudomonadati; Acidobacteriota; Terriglobia; Terriglobales; Acidobacteriaceae
Description: bacterial SSU rRNA
Rfam family: Bacterial small subunit ribosomal RNA
Source: RNAcentral